This 73-nucleotide transfer RNA is filed under the name Trichonephila clavata. It matches the Rfam family "tRNA". Rfam says of the family: Transfer RNA (tRNA) molecules are approximately 80 nucleotides in length. Their secondary structure includes four short double-helical elements and three loops (D, anti-codon, and T loops). The record is from Rfam by way of RNAcentral. Lineage: Eukaryota; Metazoa; Arthropoda; Arachnida; Araneae; Nephilidae.
GUCUUUGUAGCGCAAUGGGUAGCGCGUUGGACUUCUAAACCAAAGGUUGUGGGUUCGAUUCCCACCUGGGAGG